RNAcentral lists this ribosomal RNA (307 nucleotides) under uncultured bacterium. Its description in RNAcentral is "partial 16S ribosomal RNA". It matches the Rfam family "Bacterial small subunit ribosomal RNA", at positions 1 to 334 of the family's 1533-position model. The record is from RNAcentral.
GUCUAGUACUCAGAGUUUGAUCCUGGCUCAGAACGAACGCUGGCGGCAGGCUUAACACAUGCAAGUCGAGCGCCUCGCAAGAGGAGCGGCAGACGGGUGAGUAACACGUGGGAAUCUACCCAUCCCUGCGGAACAACUCCGGGAAACUGGAGCUAAUACCGCAUACGCCCUUCGGGGGAAAGAUUUAUCGGGGAUGGAUGAGCCCGCGUUGGAUUAGCUAGUUGGUGGGGUAAAGGCCUACCAAGGCGACGAUCCAUAGCUGGUCUGAGAGGAUGAUCAGCCACAUUGGGACUGAGACACGGCCCAA